UUCCGACCUGAGCUCAGUUGUGAUUACC
Molecule: ribosomal RNA, 28 nt
Filed under: Ditylenchus dipsaci
Lineage: Eukaryota; Metazoa; Nematoda; Chromadorea; Rhabditida; Anguinidae
Description: partial 28S ribosomal RNA
Source: RNAcentral